UCGAAUAGAUAUUGUUGUUUAAAAAACCUUAGACAGUUUUUAAUUUAAUUUCGUAUUUUUAGGUUUAAAAAAAAUCUAACUUUUCAUUUCAAUUUACUAUAAUAAAGUACUGAAGCUAUGUUUAAAUUACUUAUUAGUAGAACUUUAUAAGGACAUUGUAUGGUUAUUAUCAAUUUUUAGCCCGUAACAUAUUAAUAAUACUACGACAACCAGGAAAGAACUGAUUUAUUAUGACAAUACAAAUAAUGCAAGCUAUAAUUUAAAGUGCAGUUCAGAAAAUUUUUUGCGUAAUUAAGAGAAACAUAUUUGACAUCAGAAAAUUACUAAUACUAUAAAUAAAAGUGGAGGCAUGAUGGGUAUGAAAUCAGUGAAUUCUUCUUGAACAAAUUCAUUACAAUCCAUUUUUCCAUAAGUUUCAGUCUGCAUAAGGAUUUGGAUUUGUGGUUUGUUAUUAAUUUUCUUUUUUGGCUCAUUAGCAACAUUAUUAUUAUUAAAACCUUGACCAU
Molecule: long non-coding RNA, 506 nt
Organism: Daktulosphaira vitifoliae (grape phylloxera)
Lineage: Eukaryota; Metazoa; Arthropoda; Insecta; Hemiptera; Phylloxeridae
Exons: 3
Source: RefSeq, a predicted model, not a curated record